AAAAGGAACUCUUAAGAUGUUGAGGUGAAAUUGACCACUUAUCUUUUUUUUUCAAACAUUUUAUUUAGGGGCAGCCUGGGUGGCUCAGCGGUUUGGCACCUGCCUUCGGCCCAGGGCGUGAUCCUGGAGUCCCAGGAUCGAGUCCCACAUCGGGCUCCCUGCAUGGAGCCUCCUUCUCCCUCUGCCUGCGUCUCUGCCUCUCUCUCUGUGUCUCUCAUGAAUAAAUAAAUAAAAUGUUUUUUAAAAAUAUUUUAUUUACUUACUCAUGAGAGAGAGAGAGAGAGAGAGAGAGAGGCAGAGACAUCAGGAGAGGGAGAAGCAGGCUCCCUGGAGGGAGCCCGAUGUGGGACUCGAUCCCGGGUCUCCAGGAUCAGGCCCUGGGCCAAAGGCAGGCACUAAACCACUGAGCCACCCAGGGAUCCCAACCGCUUAUCUUUUUAAGUUCCUCCAGUGCAAGGCCCCCUGCUUCUGAGUCGAGACCCUGCACAGUACUGCCAUGCUGUCUGGGGGGACCCGGACACCCCAAACUAUCACAGGUGAGUUCAUGCCCUUGAAAAUGUAUAUACUGACUCUUUAGGGGCACAGAAAUGUCUCCAGCUCACCUACAGAUAUUCAUUCUUGGCAGAUGCAGCCUCUUAAACCCAGAGUACAAGGGAGAGACUUGCCUGGGGGCAAAGAUCCCUGAUGCCCAUCUCCGUGGUUAUGCAUUGUGGCCAGAGCAGGGUCCCCCACAACUGGUCCAGCCAGAUGGGCCUGGGGUCCGAGACACUGAUUUUCUCCUGUAUGUGUUGGUGGCCCACACUUCCAAAUGCCAUGGAGAGCCCUCUAUCAUAGCCUAUGCUGCCUGCUGCCAGCUGGACUCAGAAGACAGACCCCUCGCUGGCACCAUUGUCUACUGCGCCCAGCAUCUCACCAGCCCCAGCCUCAGCCAUCGUGACAUCGUCAUGGUGACUGCUGCAUGAUGAAUAGGAAGGCGCAAACAGGUUGGGGGAAGGGGGCAGGUCACUCAGCUUCCCAUGGAGUGGAAGAAUCUACUAGGGAUUGGAGGAGAAGCUGCCUCAACUCUAAGAAGAGCUGAUUGGGCAGAGGGACUAGAGAGUGGCUAGUCAAUCUGCUCCAUUCCCCCACCCCCCUCACCCUGCAGUCAUUUGUCCUUAGGUCACACUACACGAAUUGCUCCAUGCUCUGGGUUUCUCCGGACAGCUCUUCAAGAAGUGGCGGGAUUGCCCCUCGGGACCCAGCGGUAAAUGAGAGGAGUGAGGGCAAGCUUUCCUACGAUGUCAGCAAGAGGGGAUCACUACCAUACCACCAACUCCUUCCUUCCGGUGCUGCUCUACCCUUCCUAAGUCUUCCUCUUCUCAUAUAGUCUUCUUCGCUUUUUGUGCUCAGUUAGGGAGAACUGUUCCACAAGGCAACAAGUGACACGGCGAGAUGAGUGGGGACAGCUGCUUCUAACCACCCCAACUGUUAGCCACAGCCUGGCCAAACACUUGGGAGUGCCAGGGACUUCAGUGGGUGUUCCCUUGGAAGAAGAGGUGAGAAUGAGAACACCUGGGGGUGCUGGAAGGAACAGGGAGUAGACAGGUGGCAACCAGCUACCUCCUCCCUAGGGCCCUUUGUCUUCACACUGGGAGGCCCGAAUGCUCCAGGGUUCUAUAAUGACCGCUACCUUCGAUGGUGCCCGGCGCACUCGACUUGAUCCAAUCACUCUCGCUGCCUUCAGAGAUUCUGGCUGGUACCAAGUCAAUCACAGCGCUGCACAGGAGCUGUUGUGGGGCCAGGGUGAGAACAAGGAGAAUGGCAGAGGGGCCCUCGUGACCUGAGUCAGUUUGGGGGCAGUGAGAGAGAUUGGGAGGGAUUAUCUGCUGGUGUGAGGGAUGCUUGGGGCUUCGUUUGUUCUUUUUUUUUUUUUUUUAUGAUUUUAUUUAUUCAUGAGAGACACACAGAGAGACAGAGACACAG
This 1962-nucleotide long non-coding RNA is filed under the name Vulpes vulpes (red fox). Its description in RNAcentral is "lncRNA (ENSVVUG00000019899.1)". The record is from RNAcentral. Lineage: Eukaryota; Metazoa; Chordata; Mammalia; Carnivora; Canidae.